GACGAACGCUGGCGGCGUGCUUAACACAUGCAAGUCGAACGAUGAAGCCGGAGCUUGCUCCGGUGGAUUAGUGGCGAACGGGUGAGUAACACGUGAGCAAUCUGCCCUUGACUCUGGGAUAACUGCGGGAAACUGUAGCUAAUACCGGAUACGACACCUUGGGGCAUCCCAGGGUGUGGAAAGAAUUUCGGUCAAGGAUGAGCUCGCGGCCUAUCAGCUAGUUGGUGAGGUAAUGGCUCACCAAGGCGACGACGGGUAGCCGGCCUGAGAGGGUGGCCGGCCACACUGGAACUGGGACACGGUCCAGACUCCUACGGGAGGCAGCAGUGGGGAAUAUUGCACAAUGGGCGAAAGCCUGAUGCAGCAACGCCGCGUGAGGGAUGAAGGCCUUCGGGUUGUAAACCUCUUUUAGCAGGGAAGAAGCGAAAGUGACGGUACCUGCAGAAAAAGCACCGGCUAACUACGUGCCAGCCGCCGCAGUAA
Molecule: ribosomal RNA, 483 nt
Filed under: uncultured bacterium
Lineage: Bacteria
Description: partial 16S ribosomal RNA
Rfam family: Bacterial small subunit ribosomal RNA
Source: RNAcentral